Molecule: long non-coding RNA, 1116 nt
Organism: Stegostoma tigrinum
Lineage: Eukaryota; Metazoa; Chordata; Chondrichthyes; Orectolobiformes; Stegostomatidae
Exons: 3
Source: RefSeq, a predicted model, not a curated record
UUUUCGGCUUUAUUCAGCCCUGUCUUUUCCUGUCUAUUUCCUGGGGGAUGUGUGUUCGAGUUCAUUUUAAAGUGGUCUGAGUAUUUGAGUGUACAAUUGUAGGGGGCUCUGUGUUUUACACUGUCCUGUAUGUUUUUGACUUAAUUUACAGGGUAGAUCUGUGCUUUAUGGCUUAUUUACCGGGGGCUCUGUGUUGCAGUGCUUCGACACUGGCGGGGUGGGGGGGGUCUCUGUUUUAGAGUUUAUUCACAUUGAGGCCUGUGUUUUCGGGUUAUUUACAAAGAGCUCUGUGAUUUAAGGUUUACAUAGAAAGGCUGUAUUCUAAGGUUUAUUUACAGAAGGCUCUCUGCUUUAGGGUUUAUUUACAGUGAGCAGUGUAGUUUAGGAUUUAUUUCCAGUGAGCUCUGGGCUUUAGCAUUUAUUUACAGGAGGAUCUUCAUUUCAUGGUUUUGUUUCAGUUGGAUCUUUGUUUCAGGGUUUUUUUUAAACAAUGGGCUCUGUGUCUUAUUUAUAGUGCCAUCUGCGUUUUUGAGUUUAUUUGCAGAGCAUUCUGUGUUUUUGAGUUUAUUUCCAGGAGGCUCUCUGUUUUAGCGUUUGUUUGCAGGAUCCUCUGUGUUUUAAGAUUUAAUUUACUGUUUAUUGGCAUGGGUACUCUUUGUUUGAGGCACUGACUGAGUACUGGCCUUCUGACAAUGUGGUACUCAUUCAGAUCUGACCCUCCAGCAAUGAGGUACUGUGUCAGAACUGAUCCACUGACAGUAAAGCACUGUCUCCUCAGUUCUGACCCUCUGACAGAGCUGCAAUCGUUCAGGACUGAACUUCUGAUCAUGUUGUACUCCAUCAACUCUGAACCCAAUGCAUUGAGGGAAAAAAGCCUUGAAAGUGCCGUUUUUUUUUUGCAUGGCAAGCUGCUGAAUACGAACCAGUCUCACACCAUUGCCAUCACCUUGCCCUUGUGAAGGCAGAUAUGGAUAAAGUUUUCAAAGCUGAUAGAAAAUUGAAAGCACUCGCAUCCUGUGACCAUGAUUCUGAUGUCGGUAACUGGAAAACCUCCAUGGUUGGAGGACGAGAAGCCGUAUCCAAUUGAAGCAGCAGAGGCUUUUGCGAUGACUGUGG